RNAcentral lists this long non-coding RNA (218 nucleotides) under Ananas comosus (pineapple). Its description in RNAcentral is "long non-coding RNA (ACOM_LNC007197)". The record is from RNAcentral. Lineage: Eukaryota; Viridiplantae; Streptophyta; Magnoliopsida; Poales; Bromeliaceae.
AAUAGCCUUCGUUCUAUUUUCACUUGAUCCUGUUUCGGUUCUUUAUACCCUGAGGUCGAUUAGGCUAAUUCAUUAGCUUGUUUAUUUUCUUCUCUGGCCAAAUGCUCAAACUCAACCUCCCCGAAACUGCAGAGUAAUUCUAUCGUUUUUCUCAAAUAAUUUUGCAAAUUUCGGUUUUCACAUCGGUAUUUUCCAUUUACCUGUUUAAUUACCAAUUG